UAGAGGUUGGGUGAGAAAGGGAUCUUUUGCAUCUUUAUCAAGCAGGUACAAUACCCGCAAGGCUUAGAAGGUGAGGGUGAGAAAAAAAUUCGUAUAAAAGGAGAGAGAAAAGGAUACAGACAUCAGUUGGGUGAGCAUCACCGACACGGCAACAACUCCUGUGGACUGCCUGUACCAACUGGCUUCUUCAUCGCAUUAUUACCAGCUCGAAACAAUUGGUAAACAUUCCGUUUCUCUACAUAGUUUUGUAUUACUAAGUCUAUUAUUGACUAUGGGUUAAUAUGCCAUUCACUGUUUGUCUAUUUAACUAUGGCGUCGUGUUGCUGUUGGGUGUUGUAUCGUUGAUGGCUGGGUCGACCACUGGUGUACCGAUGUUUCCUUCGCCAACCCCAUCACCAAUUGGAUUGUUCAUCGAUAAACAAGUUCGCAGCAGUCAUGGUCAACUAUAAUGUCGUGCUGCUGUCGGAUGUUGUAUCGUUGAUGGCUGGGUCGACCACUAGUGUACCAAUUUCUUUUGGGUACGGAUACCAAACCGCAAUGCCGACGCCCUACUACACAACAGCAUACGUUUCAGCCGGUUAUUACACCAUCAAGGCUCCAGGGAAUUACACCACAACUUAUGAUGCCCCGACCUACUACACCGACGUCCUGAAUUGUAGAUAUCCUUCAGUUGCUGCAAGCAUUAACUGGCUUCGUGAUGCUGUUGAAUGUUGUAUCGUUUCUGGCUGAGUCGACCACUGGUCCCUGGGUAUGGCGGAUACGAAGCCGCAACGCUGCUGUCUUACUACACAACAACAUACGUAACUACCUGUUACUACACCGGAACUUCCAAGUACUACACCGAAAAGGCUGAAUAUUACACAAGGACGUAUGCUACCCCAGUUUACUACACCGAGGAACCUAAGCAGCUCCUGUUUACUACACCACCAACGCAUCUGAAUGGUACAUGAUAAUCUACGCUGCCCCCAACUACUAACCUGGAGCUUCGAAGUGCAACACCACCGAUGCACAAACAAUUUUCAAGCAAGGAGUUAUUUGGCGACCUGAUGCUGUUGAAUCUUGUAUCUUGGAUGUAUAUGACCGUUGUAGUGAUGUUUCCUGGGUAUGGCGGAUAUCAAAUCGCAACGCUACCGUCUUAUUACUCAACAACUUACUCAGCGACCUGUUACUACACCGGGACUUCCACUUACUACACUGAAAAGGCUGAAUAUUACACAAGGACGUAUGCUACCCCAGGCCCAGUUUACUACACCGAGGAACCUAAGCAUUACUCUCCUCCGAGGUAUCACCAAACAGAGGCUCCUGUUAACUACACCACCAACGCAUCUGAACUACUACACUGGAGCUACGAAGUGCAACACCAUCAAUGUACAACCAAUUUGCAAGAAAGGAGUUAUUUGGUGACGUGUUGCUGUUGAAUCUUAUGACCGUUGUGAUGUUUCUUGGGUAUGGUGGAUAUUAUAUCGCAACGCUUCUGUCUUACUACGCCAAAACUUACUCAACGACCUGUUACUACACCGGGAUUUCCAAAUACUACACCGAAAAGGUUGAAUAUUUCACAUGGACGAGGACAAGGCGUCUAUCCCAGUUUACUACACCGAGAAACCUAAACAUUACUGUGCUUCGAACUACAACAUAGGCUCCUGUUUACUAUGCGACCAUCGCUCCCGAGUGUUAUACGCUGUCCCCAACCGCUACACUGAAGCUCCGAAGUACUACACCCAUUGAAGGAAAACUAAUUCGCAUUCAAAGAUUAUUAUGGUGUUGUGCUGUUGUUGGAUGUUGUAUCGUUGAAGGCUGGGUCGACCACGAGUGUAACGAUGUCUCCUGGGUAUGGUGGUAUUUCAGUACUAGCAGCUAUAGAAUGGUAUACCACGUUGCUGCCUUACUACUUAACAACAACAUCAACAUACGUAACACCUACUUACUACACUGAUGCUCGUAAAUACCACAUCUCCAAGGCUCCAAGAAUAUACUGUACACGAUUAUCUACGCUGCUCCGAGCUACUGCACGGAAGUAUCACUCUACCCCAAGUUACAUCAACAAAACGUCUGAAUACUUACUAUACUGAUGCUUGAUGGUAUAUUGAUGGUACCGGAAAACUACACUACGCAUACUACCCCUGGCUACUACACCGGGGUCCUUAAUUACUACAACACCCGGCAACAAUUGAACUCUACCAAUUCUCAAUGAAAGUUAACUUUGGCUUCGGGCUGCUGUUGAGUGUUGAUGGCUGAGUCGACCACUGGUGUAUUGCUGUUCCCUGUGUAUGGUGCUUAGUCAACCGCAACGCGACUAUCUUGCUACACAACAAUAUACGCAAUGACCAGUUACUACUCCGGGAUUCUCUAUUACUACACCGAAAAGGCCGAAAAUUACGCAUCCACGGACUACACCGAGGAGUUCAAUUGCUACUGUACUCCGAGAAAGGGGAGAAGUUGCUGUUUACUACAACAUCAACGUCCCCGAAUGUUAAAUUUCAACCUACGCUGCCUACAACUUCACUGAAGCUUCGAAGUACUACACCAUCAAGUCACAUCAAAUCUGCAAUCUUUACUACUCCGAGGAAUUCAAGUACUACUGUGCUCCGAGAAACGACAGGUUGCUGUUUACUACACCAUCAACACCCCCGAAUGACAACCUUCGCUGCCCACAACUUCACUGAAGCUCCGUAGGACUACACCAUCAAGUAACCAAAUCAAAAGUAAAUAUGUUGUGUUAAUUUUGUUUCUUUGUUAUCUGUCUUUAUCUUUUUCUUUAGCUAUUCUAUUUGUCUUUAUCUUCUUCUUUAACUAUUCUGUCUUUAUUUUUUUCUGUAACUAUUUUUUUGUUUUUAAAACCUUCAAUAAUCCUACAACAAUAACCCCGGUAACAAUUUUGCCAUAAACUAUACAUCAUACUCCAUAACCCUACUUUUUAAAACCUAUUCACUUAUAAAAAAUUAAAAAAAUCAUUG
Molecule: long non-coding RNA, 2957 nt
Filed under: Daphnia pulex (common water flea)
Lineage: Eukaryota; Metazoa; Arthropoda; Branchiopoda; Diplostraca; Daphniidae
Description: uncharacterized LOC124195553, transcript variant X4
Source: RNAcentral